RNAcentral lists this unclassified non-coding RNA (157 nucleotides) under uncultured Helicoon. RNAcentral describes it as "sequence contains ITS1". The record is from RNAcentral. Lineage: Eukaryota; Fungi; Ascomycota; Orbiliomycetes; Orbiliales; Orbiliaceae.
CUGGGUAAAGGCCUCGCGCCUCCAACCCCACCCUUUGCAACCGCGGCCCGGAUUCGGCGCUCGGCGGGGGACCCUCUGCUCGCGGAGGCCUCUCGCCUGCCGGAAUCAGCCAACCCUACCUAGAAAAUUGAAGUCUGAGAACAAGUUAAAUUAAACA